GGGGAUGUAGCUCAAUGGUAGAGCACUUGCCUAACAUGCAUGAAGCCCUGGGUUCCAUCCCCC
RNAcentral lists this transfer RNA (63 nucleotides) under Heterocephalus glaber (naked mole-rat). It matches the Rfam family "tRNA", at positions 1 to 62 of the family's 71-position model. From Rfam's summary of the family: Transfer RNA (tRNA) molecules are approximately 80 nucleotides in length. The record is from Rfam by way of RNAcentral. Lineage: Eukaryota; Metazoa; Chordata; Mammalia; Rodentia; Bathyergidae.